GACGAACGCUGGCGGCGUGCUUAACACAUGCAAGUCGAACGCUGAAGCCCUUCGGGGUGGAUGAGUGGCGAACGGGUGAGUAACACGUGGGUAAUCUGCCCUGCACUCUGGGAUAAGCCUUGGAAACGGGGUCUAAUACCGGAUAGGACACAUCGCCGCAUGGUGUGUGUGUGGAAAGUUCCGGCGGUGCAGGUUGAGCCCGCGGCCUAUCAGCUUGUUGGUGGGGUGAUGGCCUAACAAGGCGACGACGGGUAGCCGGCCUGAGAGGGUGACCGGCCACACUGGGACUGAGACACGGCCCAGACUCCUACGGGAGGCAGCAGUGGGGAAUCUUGCGCAAUGGGCGAAAGCCUGACGCAGCAACGCCGCGUGGGGGAUGACGGCCUUCGGGUUGUAAACCUCUUUCGACCGGGACGAAGGAUUCGUUUGACGGUACCGGUAGAAGAAGCACCGGCUAGCUACGUGCCAGCCGCCGCCGUAA
This 481-nucleotide ribosomal RNA is filed under the name uncultured bacterium. Its description in RNAcentral is "partial 16S ribosomal RNA". It matches the Rfam family "Bacterial small subunit ribosomal RNA", at positions 28 to 523 of the family's 1533-position model. The record is from RNAcentral.